Molecule: ribosomal RNA, 459 nt
Filed under: uncultured bacterium
Lineage: Bacteria
Description: partial 16S ribosomal RNA
Rfam family: Bacterial small subunit ribosomal RNA
Source: RNAcentral
CCUACGGGUGGCUGCAGUGAGGAAUAUUGGUCAAUGGGCGGGAGCCUGAACCAGCCAAGUCGCGUGAGGGAAGAAUGUCCUGUGUAUCGUAAACCUCUUUUGUCAGGGAACAAAGUCGGGGACUUGUCCGCGGAUGAGGGUACCUGAAGCAAAAGCAUCGGCUAACUCCGUGCCAGCAGCCGCGGUAAUACGGAGGAUGCGAGCGUUAUCCGGAUUUAUUGGGUUUAAAGGGUGCGCAGGCGGCUUAUUAAGUCAGCGGUAAAAGCGUGGAGCUCAACCCCGGCGAGCCGUUGAAACUGAUGAGCUGGAGUGGGAGAGAAGUAUGCGGAAUGCGCGGUGUAGCGGUGAAAUGCAUAGAUAUCGCGCAGAACCCCGAUUGCGAAGGCAGCGUACCGGCGCCACACUGACGCUGAAGCACGAAAGCGUGGGUAUCGAACAGGAUUAGAUACCCCAGUAGUC